AUCAUUUUGUGGUUCAUAAGCAUGAUGAAUGGGUGUUCAUGCAUUUGCGUGAGAUGUGCCUCCCUCAAGCCUUGUUACGAAGUCUGCACAUUACCCGUCUGACA
Molecule: small nucleolar RNA, 104 nt
Filed under: Dasypus novemcinctus (nine-banded armadillo)
Lineage: Eukaryota; Metazoa; Chordata; Mammalia; Cingulata; Dasypodidae
Description: Small nucleolar RNA U13 (ENSDNOG00000040446.1)
Rfam family: Small nucleolar RNA U13
Source: RNAcentral